Molecule: ribosomal RNA, 427 nt
Filed under: uncultured prokaryote
Description: bacterial SSU rRNA
Rfam family: Bacterial small subunit ribosomal RNA
Source: RNAcentral
UGAGGAAUUUUGCGCAAUGGCCGCAAGGCUGACGCAGCAACGCCGCGUGGGUGAUGAAGGCCUUCGGGUCGUAAAGCCCUGUCAGGUGGGAAGAAAGGUUUCAAGGAGAAACACUUGGGAUUUGACGGUACCACCAGAGGAAGCACCGGCUAACUCCGUGCCAGCAGCCGCGGUAAUACGGAGGGUGCGAGCGUUAUUCGGAAUUACUGGGCGUAAAGCGCGUGUAGGCGGGGAUGCAAGUCUGAUGUGAAAGCCCUGGGCUUAACCUGGGAAGUGCAUUGGAAACUGCAUUUCUUGAGUACUGGAGAGGAAGGGGGAAUUCCCGGUGUAGAGGUGAAAUUCGUAGAGAUCGGGAGGAAUACCAGUGGCGUAGGCGCCCUUCUGGACGGUAACUGACGCUGAGACGCGAAAGCGUGGGGAGCAAACA